CAAAAGGGCAAACUUAAAAAAAUGCAGGGAAUUAGUUAGGAAAGUGGACUGGACUGAAGAACUCAAGGAUCUGAAUGUGGAGGAGGCUUGGAAUUACUUUAAGCCAAAGUUGCAAAAUCUGUCUAAAGCCUGCAUCUCAAGCAAGGGGGAAAAUAUUCAUAGCGAAGGGUUGCAAACCAAGCAGGAUGAGCAAACAUCUCAAACAGGUUAUUAAGAGAAAGCAGAAAGCCUACCAAGAAUGGAAGAGGGGAAGGAUCAGCAAGGAAAGCUACCUCUUAGAGGUCAGAAAGUAUAGGGAUAAACUGAGAACUGCUAUAAACCAAGGAAAAU
Long non-coding RNA from Dermochelys coriacea (leatherback sea turtle), 330 nucleotides. RefSeq lists it as uncharacterized. NCBI's taxonomy places the organism in Eukaryota, Metazoa, Chordata, Testudines, Dermochelyidae. The record is from RefSeq and is a predicted model, not a curated record. The transcript is spliced from 4 exons.